UUGAUCCUGGCUCAGGACGAACGCUGGCGGCGUGCCUAAUACAUGCAAGUAGAACGCUGAGGAUUGGUGCUUGCACUAAUCCAAAGAGUUGCGAACGGGUGAGUAACGCGUAGGUAACCUACCUCAUAGCGGGGGAUAACUAUUGGAAACGAUAGCUAAUACCGCAUGACACUAGAGUACACAUGUACUCAAUUUAAAAGGAGCAAAAGCUUCACUAUGAGAUGGACCUGCGUUGUAUUAGCUAGUUGGUGAGGUAACGGCUCACCAAGGCGACGAUACAUAGCCGACCUGAGAGGGUGAUCGGCCACACUGGGACUGAGACACGGCCCAGACUCCUACGGGAGGCAGCAGUAGGGAAUCUUCGGCAAUGGACGGAAGUCUGACCGAGCAACGCCGCGUGAGUGAAGAAGGUUUUCGGAUCGUAAAGCUCUGUUGUUAGAGAAGAACGGUAAUGGGAGUGGAAAAUCCAUUACGUGACGGUAACUAACCAGAAAGGGACGGCUAACUACGUGCCAGC
RNAcentral lists this ribosomal RNA (517 nucleotides) under Streptococcus iniae. RNAcentral describes it as "bacterial SSU rRNA". It matches the Rfam family "Bacterial small subunit ribosomal RNA", at positions 13 to 512 of the family's 1533-position model. The record is from RNAcentral. Lineage: Bacteria; Bacillati; Bacillota; Bacilli; Lactobacillales; Streptococcaceae.